CAAGGGAUAGUUUAUUAAAAUAUUAAUUUUGGAGAUUAAAGAUGAUUUUUUAUCUUCCUUGA
RNAcentral lists this transfer RNA (62 nucleotides) under Chalcophana sp. N69. Its description in RNAcentral is "tRNA-Pro". The record is from RNAcentral. Lineage: Eukaryota; Metazoa; Arthropoda; Insecta; Coleoptera; Chrysomelidae.